RNAcentral lists this long non-coding RNA (491 nucleotides) under Brassica napus (rape). Its description in RNAcentral is "long non-coding RNA (BNAP_LNC021962)". Lineage: Eukaryota; Viridiplantae; Streptophyta; Magnoliopsida; Brassicales; Brassicaceae. The record is from RNAcentral.
GUGGGAUGAAGAAUGUAGGUGCGUUUUUGGGUACCAAAGAGAAAUGGAAACAAAGAGGCAAACAAAUCCAAAUGGGCAUCUAAUCAUAUUCCAGCAUUUCCAAUUUCAUCUCUACCCACUCGCGUUUUGGACCGACAAUUUUAUUUAAUGACUUCCAUGUUGAAAUUAACACAUAUUCAACCGAUAUGAAUUUCUUAAACUAGAAAUAUUUUGUUCUCUUCUUAUGGUUCUUUGUUUUUUUUUCUCUUUACAUUCGUGUCUUUAUUUUAUACUACUCUUUUUGUUUCAUAUUAAGCGUCGUUUUAGCUUUUAAAUUUUGUUUUAUUAUAAAUGUCAUUUUAUAUUUUCAAGGCAAAUAUUAAAUGUUUUUUCCAGUUUUUACCUUUAUUCUUAACUCACUAAAACAUAAAAUAAAAUAAAAUAAUGUAUUAAAUAAGGGUAAAACAGAAAAUUUAAUCAAUUUUUAAUUUGUAUGCAAAAGCUUUAAACAA